UGAAYUUAAGCAUAUCACUAAGCGGAGGAAAAGAAACUAACCAGGAUUCCCCUAGUAACGGCGAGUGAAGAGGGAAAAGCCCAGCACCGAAGCCUGUGGCAGUUUUGCUGCUAGGCAAUGUGGUGUUUAGGCCGGCUCGUGGAAUCGCCACUCCACUCGAAGUCCAGCAUUGAGUAUGGUUCCCAGGAAUUGGCCCAUAGAGGGUGAAAGGCCCGUUCGAGUGGAUGUGUCAGAUGUGUAAGGCGAUUCACCAGGCCGACCUUAGAGUCGGGUUGUUUGCGAAUGCAGCCCAAAGCGGGUGGUAAACUCCAUCCAAGGCUAAAUACUGGCACGAGUCCGAUAGCGAACAAGUACCGUGAGGGAAAGUUGAAAAGUACUUUGAAGAGAGAGUAAACAGUACGUGAAACCGCAUAGAGGUAAACGGGUGGCGUCAAGCUGCAAGCCGAGAGAAUUCAGUCGGUCAGGGUGUUGACAUGCGCCCAGCGCAUCUAUCAGUCGGUGUAGAGAGUGGCUAGUCCGCCAGAAGAGGGCGGGCCCAGCUGUUAAAGGCUGGGAUUUGUGUACCGAGUGGUGGUCGGAGCAAGCUAGCCGUCUGUGGGACUGCCUGGCCGAUGCACUUUCUCUGUGGUGAACACCACGACCGGUGGUACUGCCAGUCUACUGUAGCCAGCUUUAUUGCACGCUCAGCCUCCGGGCUGAGUGUGUGGUGAUCACAGACAAUUUCAGUGCACGGUGCUUGCGGGUUUCUCGCCUGUGAGCAUGUUAUCGGGUACUGGUUGUAAACGGGUCGGCCCAACCACUAGUGUGUGUAGUCGUGGUGGGUGAUUCGGUGGGCUAUGGUGGUGUGAAUAGCUGUGCAGGGCAUCGGAGUUUACGGUCCAGUCGGUAGAUCUGCGUAAAAACAGGUGUGCCGGGCGGCUGUGCACGCACUACAGUUUGGCGUGUGUGUACGAGUAAUCUAUGCACAGAUAGUGAUGCCAGGGCCUGCCAAAUAUCGGGUCUGAUUAUCGUGUCGCCUGCCAAAAUGGUGGGUCCGGUAGUGGCCUGGUGUUGGAUGGUGUCUGUUGGGCAUUGUUGUUGUUGUACAGCCGUGCUAAUAUGUGACCUCAUAGUCUGUGGUGUAGUGGUAGACGAGCUACCCGACCCGUCUUGAAACACGGACCAAGGAGUUUAACAUGCGCGCGAGUCAUUGGGUCCUACGAAACCCAGAGGCGCAGUGAAAGUGAAGCUCCGACAUAUAUUGUUCUCGGGGUGUGGUGAGAUCCUGCUGUUUCUCGCAUGCACUUGACGACCAGCACUGGGCUAGUGUCAACUAGACGAGCAGUGGGCGCAUCACCGGCCCGUCCCAUGAUGUGGCUAUUUGUCAGCGGUGGCCUGCCUAUCCAGGUGGCUGCCUGUCUGGCGGGUACGUCAUCGGGGCGGAGCAUGAGCGCGCAUGUUGAGACCCGAAAGAUGGUGAACUAUGCUUGCGUAGGUUGAAGCCAGAGGAAACUCUGGUGGAGGACCGCAGCGAUUCUGACGUGCAAAUCGAUCGUCAAACGUGAGUAUAGGGGCGAAAGACUAAUCGAACCAUCUAGUAGCUGGUUCCCUCCGAAGUUUC
RNAcentral lists this ribosomal RNA (1600 nucleotides) under Djombangia penetrans. Its description in RNAcentral is "eukaryotic LSU rRNA". It matches the Rfam family "Eukaryotic large subunit ribosomal RNA", at positions 29 to 970 of the family's 3401-position model. The record is from RNAcentral. Lineage: Eukaryota; Metazoa; Platyhelminthes; Cestoda; Caryophyllidea; Lytocestidae.